CCAAAGCAUGAAGUGAAGAGGAAAGGAAAGAACACAAACCCUAGGUGGGAAAAUUGAAGAAAAAGCGUGAGAUUUCAAGGGAUUAAGCUAAUAAAGGUAAAAUUUUGUGAUUUUAUCUUGUGAUUUACACUACCCAUGCUUUCUUUUUCAUUUUUCAUGCUUAGAACUCAAGUUUGCAUGAUGAACCCAUGCUGGCCGAAUUUGAGAGGAGAGGUUUUGAGCAUUGAUUUUGCUAGAUUUCAAGCUAAUUAAGUGUUUUUGGUUGUUUGGUAAUGGAAAGUAUGAAAAUCUAGCAAGGAAUCACUUUGUUCUUCACAAACCCACAAGAGGCCGAAUUUUCUAGGGAGGAUAUUGAGGCUGAAAUUGAUGAUAUUUCAUGAUAUUUUGGUGGUAUUUAAUGAUUGGUGAGGCUAGAAAUUUAAUGGGAAAUUUUGGCAUGAAAAUCUGAAUUUUUACCUAAUGUAUAGACAUGUGCGAUUUAUGGUUCAGACUGAUAAAUUGAAUCAUAUUCACAGUCAUUGAGGUAUUUUAAGUAUAAUUGGAGUGUAGAAAGUGAAAGAAAUCGAUUUGGAGUUAAAUUGGAGGUUUUAGCCAAUUACACCUCGAAUAGUGCGAAUUAGGUCAAUACCGUAUUUAAACGGCUAUUUAAACAUUUUGCAGCACAUUUCGUGCAUACAUAUAGAUUUAUAGAGCCUGAAAUAGUUUAUGAUAAAUUGACAUAAUUUAUUAAAAUUAGUGUCAUGUAUGAUGUAUAGGUGGUGAGCCCUCUAACAAGGGUAAAGAGAUUGUGUCUAAAGACCGGGAAUAGGAGUAUAUCGAACUCCUAGUACUGUGAGUAACCUUACUAUCGUCGUAAUUAUCUAGAGUGAUUUUUAUCCGAUUUUGUGAUUUUAUGAAAAAUGAGUUUAAAUGGUAAAUUUUUAGGUUUUAUAAACAAAAUGUGUUUAAAUACAAAUGAUUUCAUAAAUGGUCUUGAAAUUGAAUGAAGGCUUUGAAAAUAAAGUAAUUGGAGACCAUUUGAUGUAUUGUGAAUUUAUGGUUCUAAUUGAUUGGCUUAUGACAAUGUUGGCCUGAAUGGCUGAAUUGGUAUUUGUGUUGAAAUGUAUAAACUGUUGUUUGCCUUGAUAAGCUGGAUAAUGAUAAAAUUCCCAUAUCAUGCUGUUGAAUUUUUAUUGUAUGAUGGGUUUAGCUUGCUGCAGUGGACUGGUUCUGUGGACCAACCUAUUAGAGGGGCACGGAACCUGGUCAUAUAUAUGUACCUCGAUUGGAAAGGUGCGUUGGGUAACUCCCGAGGUCAAACUUUAGAGUUCAUUUCACGCCCAACCACCACGUGAGGGGAACUCUGCCAACGCCAAGGAACGACUAUGUUUUCAAAAUAAAAACAUGAUUUAUACGUACAUAACUUUUUAACAGCCUUGGCGAAUUCGGUUGGGAUAGCCCUCGAUCAAGGCAUCCUUGAUAACUGGGUAUGAGAAUGAUUUUGGCACGAGCCAAAGUUUUAAGAAAUUCAUAAGCCAUGUUAAUUACUCGAUUUAUAUGAAUUGAUUUUAUUUGGUUGAAACAAGUUGAAAGGUGAUGAAUUUCAGUAUGUUAAACUGUUUUAUCUGUCUCCAUUUACUCGACUUUAGAUGGUUUAGAUGGUAUCUAUUUACUCACUGAGAUUUUAUAAUCUCACCACCCUCAUUUUCAACCAUUUCAAGCUCGAGGUAGUCUGUGGAUAGCAGAUAUCGUCAAGGAUUAUAGUCGGCUUUACUACUCCAAAAACUGUAAGUUUACAGUCUUUGUGCACUUUUGUUCCUUGUGGGCCCACGAGUCACUGGAAAGUAAAUUUCAUAUCCCGAUUAUCGGUAUUAUAGUACGUAUGAAUUUAUUUAGCUUUUACAUUACAAAAAUUAUUUACCGAUGACUCUAUAAAUAUUAUUUUACAAGAAAUUAGAAUAUUUUAUUGAAUAUUUUUAUUUUAUUCAAAUAGUUGCAAUAUCAUUUUUAAUAAAUGUUUUAGACACCCAAAUUUAUUUUAAAUCAUAAAAUAUGUGUUUUUCACUCAUCUACUACAUUUUUUGUCGGGUUCGGAAAAUUUUGAGGAAAAAUGAAGAAAACGCCCCUGUGAGGCGAAAAUUAUUUUUCCACGGUUUUGAAAGGGAAAAAGCUUAAAAUUCUUUAAAAAUGAGGUUUGACGAUGAUUACUCACAGGGGAGAUGAAAACAAAAUGGUACUAAAGCCUUGCUGGUUCCGAUUAGCACUCCGGGUAACGAAUGUCUACCGGGACGUCGCAACGGUUGUCACCAGCUUGAGAGGAGUAUCGAGUCGUGACAAAUUUAGAUCUUUAGGAUUUUAUUGUUGAUAGACCUCAUAUUCUUACCAAAACUGUAGAUAGUGUAAACCAUGUUAAACUAGAGCUGAAUGGGAUAAUAAAGACAAAAAGUUGGUAUAGGUGAAUCACAAAGUUGUAACAACUAUUUUGUGUCCUCUUAGUGAGGAUGAAAUUAAUAGAGUAGCUAUGUGUUCCUUAGCAAAAGAAAUUUGGGAUACAUUAGAAAACUAUUAUAAGGAAACUAGUUAAGUAAAGGAAUAAAAAAUUAGUUUGUUAAUACUUGACUAUGAGUUUUUCAAGAUGAAAGAUGAGGAAUCUAUCAAAGAAAUGUUUGAAAGAUUCACCAAAAUCAUAAAAGGACUUAAAGCUGUAGGAAAAAAGUUCCAAAUGCACAACCGGUGAAGAAAAUCCUUCACAAUCUUCCUAAAUCGUGGAUAUCUAAGGUCAUUGCCAUAGAAAAAGCCAAAGACUUAAAAGUACUUAAGUUAGAUGAGCUUCUAGGUUCUUUACUUACUUAUGAAAUGACCUUUAGGCAUGAGAAAGAAAUAGAUGAAGCAAUUAAAAGAGAAGCAAAGUGAAAAAGCACUGCUUUCAAGGCAGCUGAGGAAGAAAAUGUAAAUAAUGUUGAAUAUGAUGAUAAAGAAAUAUCUUUGUUAACCAAAAGGUUUAAUAGAUCUUUGAUGAACAAAAAAAGAAGUCGAAAGUUUUUCAAAAGAGACGAACUAAGAAGAAAUCUGAGGAGAGACAUUCAAAAAGAUGAUCAUAGAAAAGAUCACGUUAUUUGUUAUGAAUGCAAAAGACUUGGUCCAACCAAAUACAAAUGUCCAAAACUCAAGAUGAACAAUCAAAGAAGCAUCAAUAAGAAAACAAUGAUAACAGCAUAGAGUGACAGUGAUAAGUCACAAAAUGAACAGGAAAAAAAGAUUGCAAGUCUCUGUUAUGUGGCAGUAGAUGAGCCCAUGAAUGAGGAUUUUUCGGAUUCUAAUAUGCAAAUGGAUAACCCACAAUUUCUUGAUGCUAAAUGUUUGAGUCAUACAAUAAUCAUCAAAGAAGAAAUUAUGAAUGAGGAAGGAAAAUCUAGUAAUUUUAUUUUUGAAAUUGAUCAUCACGGAGAAAGUGAAGAACUAGGAGAAGUCACCUCAAUGGACAUGGAUUCUACUUCCAAUAAAGAAAAAUUAACAGUAGAAUGUCCAAAGUUCAAUGCCAAAGACUAUCAUCAUUGGAAAGACCAAAUAAAAUAGUUUAUCCAAGUGAGUGAUUAUGAAUUUUGGAGAAUAAUCAGAGAUGGUUCAUAUGAGUUGACUAAAGAAUUAAAUGAAUGGGAUUCAAGUCACUUAGACAUGUUAUAACUUAAUGCAAAGGCCAUGCAUUUCCUCUUUUCUGCACUAGGAAACAAAGAGUACAACAAAGUCUCUUCAUACAAUAGUGCAAAAAAAGUAUGGGAAAAACUAGAAGAAAUAUAUGGAGAAGAAGAUUUGGAAGAAAACACUAGAAAAAUCAACAAUGAUGAGUCAAGUAAGAUUCAAUCCUCACAACAAGGAAAUGAAGCAUGGUCAUUGUUCUAGAACUUGGAAGGGAAGGUAAAAUAUCUAUUUGAUGGUAUGUUUAAAUAUACUUUCGAAGAAUUUAAGGAGGUGUUUGGUGAAUUAGUUUAUAGGUACAAGAAAAUAAAUUUGGAGAAUAAAGAAAAAUUUCAAAUCUUAAUGUUGAAAAUGAAUUUUUAAAUAAUGCAAAACUUGAGUUAGAAAGAGAAAAUAAAAAUUGAAAACGACAUUUAGAAUACGUGAGAUGAAUCUCAAUAGUUUAGGAAAUGAAAAUGAGAAGUUAAAAAAUGCUCUUGAAGGAUAUAAAAGGAAAACUGAUUGAAUAAGUUUCAAGAGUGAAGCAAAUAAGUUUUUUUUUUUUUUAAUUCUAACCUUUUAGCAAGUUUUAUUUUUUUUUUUACUAACAAAAGGAUUCAAAAAAAUUUUGGAUACCAAAAAACAAGUGACAAUCUAUAUCGCAGGGAAAUCAAUGAAAUAAAAAGUAAAAUUAGAAUGUCUAGAAUCAACAUCUUCAUUUUGAAGAAUCAAUUCGUCUGGCAUAAAGUACUUUUCAAAGGUCUCAAAACUUAUUAUGUGGCUUUUAAACAGGUAUGAGAAACAAGGUGAGAGUAAUGAUUAAUUAUAAUGCCCUGAUUGUCCUGAAUGUUUAACAUGACAUUAGAUGCAUGCAUUCAUCAUGGAAAGUUAUCCAACUGAUUCUAACUCCUAGACAUAAAGGAAAAGAAUCUACGUCUGAACUUAGUGUCUUAAUGACUUUCACUAAAAAGGUUAUUGAUUGAGACCAUACUAGGCAAAUGAAAUAAAUGUGCAAGUCAAAGUGAUAUGAUUCACUUAAAAAAUGUUAAAAUUUGAAAAAAGAAGGUGAAGAGACAAACAACUUUGCUUAUAAGAUUAGAAGAAACGUUAUUGGUCCAUUCAUUUACCAUAACUUUAGAACAAGUCUACUGUAAAACUUUUCCAUCACCUUAACCUAUUCAUAAAAGUAUUCAUCAGUCAUGGCAGCAAGGCAUGGGAGUUAUACUAGAGACCAAAGAAGGGAGUCAUCAUCAAAGUCCAAUCAUAUUUUUAAGAACUUCAACGAUCACAAACAUAGACAAAGGUACUUGUACCUGUUUUCACACUUUCAAGUGAUUCUUAGUCAUUCAAUUGAUUUGGAUUACAUAAGCACACUAGGUUUCCCAUACUUAGAUAAUCUCAAAGAACAACAUUGGUUGACAACUUUAAAAAUGAAUACACCUUAUUAUGAGAAUUUGGUCAAGGUUUUCUAUUAAAAUGCUGAUACUACAUUUAUUAACAAUGAUGGAAAGCCAUAUACUUCCAAGGUCGCAUUCACUACAUCAAUCAUGGGAAGAGAAAUAGGUAUUUCUCCACCAGUGAUCAAUCAUGUCUUAGAAGUUCAUAACUUUAGAAUAGACCUAAAAAGUCUACGUAAUGAACUCAAUAAACUUGACUUAAAAAACAUGUGUUCAUCUUCCCUCCACUAACACUAAUAAAACCCUUCAGUAUAAACCGUUUAGGCUUUCAUGACAAGAUCUUACACUUAAUUUUAUGUUGGUUCUUAAGACCAAGUGGGAGAGAAUUCUCAUUUGUGAAAAGUGAAGAUUUAUAUUUCAUGCAUCACAUCAAACACAGCAAGCAAUUCAAUUUGGGUUAUUUCAUUCUUAGAGACAUGUUGGAAGUAAUUGAAGGAAAGAAUGAAAGAUUAGUUCAUGGAAUGGUAAUUAGCCAACUAAUGGAUUCACUUGAGGUUGACACAAGUGCAGACUUGAUGAUUAGAUGUCAAAAUCAGAAGAUUGUUGAAGAAGCAAUAAAGGAGUUUGAAUAUCACUCGAUUGAAAAGAAUAUGACACUUGAACAAGGUUUUGAACUUAGAGAUGCAAGAACAGAUGAUAGCAGGAAUUUCACUAACACUGAAGAUCCACCUUCCCAAAACACCAUGAACUCCUUGAUUGCAAAAAUGGAUAACUACUUUGACAAUUAGAUCAAAAAACAACAGCAUGAAAGAAAAGAACAUAAAAAGAAAAUGAAUCAGCUUACGAAAAAGUUUAACUUAGAUAGUUGAUCCUCAAGUUAAUCCAGUAGAAGACAUAUAUCAUUUUGUGGAGCAAAAUUAUUGUAACUCCUAAAACAUAUAAAUUUUAAUUUUAAUGGAUGACUUUCGGAUUUUCAUUUGCAUACAUUCAUUUGUAUAUUUACUGAUAUCUAUUCAUUGAACAUACUUGCUCUAAUUGUCUCUAUGAUCUUAUCAUUAAAUGUUGAUUGAUAACUAUACUUAACUUGUGCUGGGAAUGCUCUAUUUUUCUAUGAGUUUUAUUUCCUUUAUUAUACUCUAUUUUCUGUUCUUUUUUUGUACAACGAAAAAAGGGAGAAAUAUAGUGAGCAAAUUUGUACUUAAAUUUUCAUUCAUUUUAGUUGGAGUUGGUUGGAUUUUUCAAAAAUGCUUUUAUACUUAAAUGCAAAUCUUUUUGAAAAAGCAUAUAAUUAAGGGGAGAAAGCAUAAAUUCAAAGGGAGCUUUACCUGAGAAAAGUACUUUGAAAUAUUGAGCAUAUUUUUAGGGGGAAUUUUUCUUCAAGAAGCAAAAUUAACUCUCAAUUUUGUCAUAUUAAAAAAGGAAACAUUGUUAGCUUUAUAUUUGUUUUGACAUGACAAAAUUGAUUGAACUUUAAUGAGCUUUGAAAGUGAAAGAUAUUAUUGAGAAUGAAGAAAAUCCUCAAAGAAUUAUUAAAGUUGAACUUAGUAGAAAAGGUUAUUAAAGUGUUUUGAUUGUUUGAACAUUAUAUAGAUGAUCAUACUCUUACUUUUCUCAAAAAGUCUCUUGUUUUCAAAAUUAAAUGUGCUAGCCCAAAGAUCAAGGUUUCAAAAGAAAUGGCUUGAUCUUGAAGGAAAAUAAAGCAAAAUAUAUUUCUUUAAUUAGAGGAAGAAUCGAUUCUAGAGAUGAAAAAGUCAAUUCUCAAGCAAAGAUGAAUAGUGAAGAAUCGAUUUUGAGACAAGGAGAAGUCAGUUCUUAGAAGAUAGAAUCUUCAAGAUUUGUGAAGAACCGACACCUCAAAGACAAAGAAUUGAAUCUGGAGAAACAAAAUGCAAAAAAGAGAAAAGCAAAGAAGAAAUAAUCAAUUUUACAAGGAGAAAAAGUCAAUUCUUGAAGCACCAAAAGUACAACUUAAAACUUGGUGACCAAGAAAGGCAUGGCACAACUGAAUAAAAGUGGAGCUACAGAAUUCAAGCUUGAAUUCAAAUUUUGGAGCUCGUCCACAGUAAAGAAUCGACACCUUGAGGCAAAAAAAAUCUAUUCUCCAAGAUUGCAAAAGUGUCACCUUUACAUUUAGUUAUAGAAGAAUUGACACCUUGAAAUAGAAGAAUCGAUUCUUCAAAGACAGAAAGCUACAAACUUCGCGAAGAACUGACAACUUAACUACAAAGAACCGAUUCUACCAAAGAAAUAGAAUUGUGCAAGCUGGCUUGAACAUACAAGAAAUGAUUUACAACUUACUCCACAGAUAGAAAAUCUCAAAGGCUACAAAUAUACAUCUUGAGAAUGUUAAAGAAAGAAGAGAAGAGGAUUUUGAAAGAUUUUGAACCAUCUUUGAAGAGGAAAAAAAUGAAAAAAAAAAAAAAAACAAGUUUGAGCAGAAAGUUCCUAACUUUGAGCAAACAAAGGGCCUAAAGUUCUCAUUCUUAUUCUUUAGCUAAUCCUUUUUGAUCUUAGACCAUCAUUAAUCAUCUUUAUUUUUGUAAAAGCUCUCACUUUUUUGAACCUAAACUUUGUUAUUAACCUUUCUAAAGGUUUUUAGUUUGUGGUUUGAUAGAAUUAUUUGUUGUAUUAGUUAUGCCUUUAGGUAAAAGGUAGAGAGGUUUUGCUUGAUCUUUUAAAAGGCUUCAUCUUGUGUAAAGGUAGUGCUUUAACCUAAAAAGGUAGUGUCUUAGUAAAGGUUACAUCUGAUCUUGUAAAAGGCAAGUUGUAGAGGUUAUGAUUGAUCUUGAAAAAGGCAUAUUUUAAAGGUUACGCGUGACCCUAUUGAAAAGGUAAACUGGUUAUGGAUUCAAACUUUUUGUGCUAUCAAGGUGAUGUCAAAUUUUCAUGCAAGUGCACGUUCUCGUAAACAAGUAAUAUAGUAGAAGUAAAGUAUUGUUCCCACAAAGAUUUGUUUCUAAAUAUUUACGAAGUAUUAAAAUCUUAUAACAAAUCAAUUUUAUUUAAGUAACCAGAAAUUGUAGAAAAACUAAUUAAAACAAAAUUAAAAUAAACACUAAAUUAACCAACAGAAAUUAAAUAUGCUUGAGAGAGAAAAUAGAUUAAAAACCUAGGAUUAUGGGUUCAUUCAACACUUCAUCUAGUACUAGUUUCUCUUACUAUUUAUCUUUCUUGGGUGAUUUUACUAACCUAGAAUCCAAAACUAUGUAUAAGUCUCAGUCAAGAUGCUUGCACAAAUACGUAACUUAAUUAGUUCACUAUAUAUCUAUAGGAAUCAAUUAAAUUGAGUUCAUUAAGCUAGUGUCCUAAUUUGGCUAUGUAUGGCAAUUUGCGUAUAUCUACCCGAAUUGUGAAUCAGAUCACCUAAGUGACAUGAGCAUACACUAUUCAAAUCUUAGUCCAAUCUAAAAUCUCUUUGUCGAGUUUUAAUUAGAUUCACAAAUCAAUUACUUAUUGAUCAGGCAAUUCAAAGCAUUAAGAACAUAUUUGAAUGACAAAACUAUACUCAUUCAUGAUAAAUAAAAGAUAAACUAAUAUUCAAACUACAUGUUGAAAUCCACGAUUAUUCUAGAAAAGCAAAUUAGUUCAUGAUAUCUAAAUAAAAAAAUCUCCAAAGAAAUUUAGCCAUGAAUUCAAAACAAGAAAAUAAGUAUAACACAAAAGAGAGAAAUAAACUAAUGUUGACGUUUUGUUGAUCUUGAAUCUUUUUCAAUUUCUUUUGUUUCUUGCUUGAUUCUGAGCUCUAAAUCUCUAGAAAAGCUAUUACUAUUCUCUCCCUUCAAUGCUCUCAAAAAGGCUCCUUAAAUAAGCUUAAAAGACCUACUUUCUGAAAUCUUGUAAAACAAUGAAUUUUUUGAAAGUUGUCUUGUGCCGCAGCGCUUCCCUUUUUGGUGCCACUGCAUUGUGACAUGUGUUGUAACGCCGUGGCUGUCUACUCUCGAGAAUUUGUAUGGUGCACUCUAGCACCAUGGCCAUGAUCUUCCCAGUACCAUGGCCCUAACUCCCUCAGCGUCAUAGCCAUGAGUAACUCAAGGUCGUGACCUCCAAUCAACAUGCUAUGCAGAAUUGCAACUGCCCAUCAACUUCUAAUGCAUUUUCACCUUGAUUGGAUCCGAACUGGGUAAAGUGGUAAACAUGAAAGUUAUAGCCCAUUCUCUUAACUUUCCAAAUGGAUUAAGAAUCUCAUCAAUGGGACUUCUGUAGCUCUAGUUAUCCUUGAAAUUUCGUAGCAUGUAUGAAUAAAUCCUUC
This 9300-nucleotide long non-coding RNA is filed under the name Theobroma cacao (cacao). RNAcentral's name for it is "long non-coding RNA (TCAC_LNC000510)". Lineage: Eukaryota; Viridiplantae; Streptophyta; Magnoliopsida; Malvales; Malvaceae. The record is from RNAcentral.